Molecule: ribosomal RNA, 1478 nt
Filed under: uncultured Chloroflexota bacterium
Lineage: Bacteria; Bacillati; Chloroflexota
Description: bacterial SSU rRNA
Rfam family: Bacterial small subunit ribosomal RNA
Source: RNAcentral
UUAGAGUUUGAUCAUGGCUCAGGAUGAACGCUAGCGGCGUGCCUAAUGCAUGCAAGUCGAACGGGAUCCUUUGGAUUCUUCUGAAGGUGAGAGUGGCGAACGGGUAAGUAACACGUUGGUGACCUGCCCCAGAGAGGGGGAUAACUAUUGGAAACGAUAGCUAAUACCCCAGAUGUCAUUGUUGUUAGAGAGUAAUGACUAAAUGCUCCGGCGCUCUGGGAGGGGCCUGCGGCCCAUCAGCUAGUUGGUAGGGUAAUGGCCUACCAAGGCAAAGACGGGUAGGGGGCGUGAGAGCGUGACCCCCCACACUGGUACUGAUACACGGACCAGAUACCUACGGGUAGCAGCAGCAAGGAAUAUUGCCCAAUGGACGCAAGUCUGAGGCAGCAACGCCGCGUGGAGGAUGAAGGCCUUCGGGUUGUAAACUCCUUUUCUGGGGGAAGAGAAAGGACGGUACCCCAGGAAUAAGUCUCGGCUAACUACGUGCCAGCAGCCGCGGUAAAACGUAGGAGGCGAGCGUUAUCCGGAUUUACUGGGCGUAAAGCGCGUGCAGGCGGUUUUCUAAGUCGGACGUGAAAGCUCCCGGCUCAACUGGGAGAGGUCGUUCGAAACUAGGAAACUUGAGGAUGGUAGAGGAGAGUGGAAUUCCCGGUGUAGUGGUGAAAUGCGUAGAUAUCGGGAGGAACACCAGUGGCGAAGGCGGCCUCCUGGGCCAUUCCUGACGCUCAGACGCGAAAGCUAGGGUAGCAAACGGGAUUAGAAACCCCGGUAGUCCUAGCUGUAAACGAUGUGGACUUGGCGUUGGUGGGGUAAAAGCCAUCAGUGCCGUAGCUAACGCGGUAAGUCACCGCCUGGGGACUACGGUCGCAAGGCUAAAACUCAAAGGAAUUGACGGGGACCCGCACAAGCAGCGGAGCGUGUGGUUUAAUUCGAUGCUACGCGAAGAACCUUACCCGGGUUUGACAUACUGGUGGUAGGGAUCCGAAAGGUGACCGACCCUUCGGGGAGCCAGUACAGGUGCUGCAUGGCUGUCGUCAGCUCGUGCCGUGAGGUGUCCGGUUAAGUCCGGUAACGAGCGCAACCCUCGCCGCAUGUUAUACGUAUCAUACGGGACUGCCGGUAUAAAGCCGGAGGAAGGUGGGGAUGACGUCAAGUCAGCAUGGCCUUUAUAUCCGGGGCUACACACACGCUACAAUGGCCAGCACAAUGGGUUGCAAGACCGCGAGGUGGAGCCAAUCCCCAAAGCUGGUCUCAGUUCAGAUUGCAGGCUGCAACUCGCCUGCAUGAAGUCGGAGUUGCUAGUAACCGCAGGACAGCUAUACUGCGGUGAAUACGUUCCCGGGUCUUGUACACACCGCCCGUCACGUCAUGGAAGCUGGCAACACCUGAAGUCGGUAUCCUAACCCGCAAGGGAGGGAACUGCCAAAGGUGGGGCUGGUAACUGGGACGAAGUCGUAACAAGGUAACCAAUCACUAGU